GUUCAUUUUGCCUGGGCCGCUACAGACUAGAGGAAGGAGCAGGGCUGCGACCACCCUCCGCAUUUGGUGUAAAGUUACCCUCAGGAAAGGGUGUCACACAUAUUCACCAAGCAACAAGGAAGCUUGAGAGAUAUGGGAUAUAUUAAAACCGGCAAGUGAAAGCUGAAGAAAGCACAGGUCAGAGCUGGGCCACAAACAAUUCAUAGAUGUCAGUCUCUGGCCAUUCACUCCAGAAUGCAGAACAGCAUUUCUCUGCUGUUGGCGUCAAAGCCAGGCCUUCACCAACGGUGAGUCACGCACCAAGCAAGAAUUAUGUUAUCAUUGUUUACGAUGUUACAAUAGUGCCUGGAGAGUCCAACCAAGAUCAAGGCCCCAAUCUCCCACAUACUGUCUUUACACACAAUAUGAGCCAGUCCCUGCCCCAAGGAGCUUACAAGCCAGAGGGAGACUAGAUGCUCAACUGAACAUACAACCCACCCCUAUUGGGGACUAGCCACCGACACCCCAAAGAGCAAGGAGUGGGCAAGCAAGAGCUGAGGACCUCUGACUCCCCCACGCAAGCCAACCCCCAAUGGACAUCAGGAGAGGUGGGGAGAAGAGAUAGAGUGCCCACCCCUUUCUGGCAAGGGAAAAGAGCAUAAAGUGCCCCCCUCCCAUCAGCCAGGAGGACAGUAAAGCUGGGUGUAAUCUGCUUCUGUGGUUGACACAGCAGGAUCCUAGAACAUCCCCUCUACCAUAGACUAAGACCCAAGGCAAUUGUAAUUGAGAGUCCCUUGUAUAAAACUCUAAGCCAAGAGUCUGAGGUAAUCACACAAUCUUGUUGAUCCACUUGUGACACCGGCAGAUCAGGUACCAGCUCAUACCAAGGGCCCUAGAUCUCACUGAACACUGACAAAUGCAUAGCUGGAAACCUGUCUGACUCACCUGUGCACUAGUAUUGUUAAAAUAGGUAUUAGAUUUAUAGAUAUGUGUUUAAUGUUUGGACUUUAUGAAAUGCUUGUAAAUUGCUGCAUGCUUCAGUCUCAUUUAUAAUAUCUAUAUUCCAUGCUAUAUGCAGAGGUGGCCAAACUUACUGACCUUCCGAGCCAAAUACAAUAAUCUUCAGAAGUUCGAGAGUUGCAAGACACUCAUAACCUGCCCUGCAGGGUGGCACCUGCUGGGGCUUGGGACUUCAUCCCCAUGUGGUGUGCCUGCUAGGGCAUGGGGCUCACCUGCUGAAGUCCCGAUCCCCAGCACCGCCCCACUACUGGGCUACAGCCUAGAGACCCCACCCUCCCUGCAGGCAGAAGCCCCUAACCCCACCACCCAGCUCCCUCCCACAGUCUAUUAGGUGGAGAAUGGGGGGGCAACAUGGGGUCUUCGCGAGCCUCACUUCAACUGUAAAAGAGUUUGGCCACACCUGCUAUAUGGCAAUAUUUAAGAGUUUGCUUUGUAACUAUAAAAGUGUUUGCUGUGAAACUGGAAACCCCCACAAUCAGGAGAGAAGCAUUACCAAGUGUGAAAUACUAGUUUACCACAAGACAUGCCGUUUCCUGUCCAACAGAAGAGGGCCUCUUUCUUUAAGGAUCCCCAAAAUCUCAUUCUUUAAUGCCCAAAGGAGUGAUGGACAGAAUAGUUAGGCCUAAUAUCUGACACACCAAUUUUGGUUCACUGAUUUCUGGUUCAACCCUUAGCUUGUUUAUCAGGAAUAAUCUCCGCUGGUCUAGUGCCACCAGAUGAACCACUGUGGAACAUCAGUGGACAAAAGACUUUGUUCCACCAACACCCAUAAAGAAAGGGUUUGCACAAACCCUCAACCCCUCACAGUUUGAACUCUAGGGGAAGGGAAGAAAAAUCCCUGACCAGAAGGCUCUGUUUCACUAUGUUGCUAGGAUUUUGGA
Molecule: long non-coding RNA, 1880 nt
Organism: Gopherus evgoodei (Goodes thornscrub tortoise)
Lineage: Eukaryota; Metazoa; Chordata; Testudines; Testudinidae
Exons: 3
Source: RefSeq, a predicted model, not a curated record